CACGUAGGGCGCAAGCGUUGUCCGGAAUUAUUGGGCGUAAAGAGCUCGUAGGCGGUCUGUUGCGUCCGCUGUGAAAACUCGGGGCUUAACCCCGAGCCUGCAGUGGAUACGGGCAGACUAGAGUACUGCAGGGGAGACUGGAAUUCCUGGUGUAGCGGUGAAAUGCGCAGAUAUCAGGAGGAACACCGGUGGCGAAGGCGGGUCCCUGGGCCGAUACUGACGCUGAGGAGCGAAAGCGUGGGGAGCGAACAGG
Molecule: ribosomal RNA, 253 nt
Filed under: uncultured bacterium
Lineage: Bacteria
Description: partial 16S ribosomal RNA
Rfam family: Bacterial small subunit ribosomal RNA
Source: RNAcentral